GUAGUCCACGCCCUAAACGAUGGAUGCUAGGUUUGCGGGGUAUCGACCCCCUGUGAGCCGUAGGUAACCCGUUAAGCAUCCCGCCUGGGGACUACGACCGCAAGGUUAAAACUCAAAGGAAUUGACGGGGGCCCGCACAAGCAGCGGAGCGUGUGGUUUAAUUCGAUGCUAAGCGAAGAACCUUACCAGGGCUUGACAUGUAAGUGGUACUGAACCGAAAGGCGAGGGACCCGCAAGGGAGCUUACACAGGUGCUGCAUGGUUGUCGUCAGCUCGUGCCGUGAGGUGUUGGGUUAAGUCCCGCAACGAGCGCAACCCUUGUCGCUAGUUAAAUUCUCUAGCGAGACUGCCCCUAAAAGGGAGGAAGGAGGGGAUGAUGUCAAAUCAUCAUGGCUCUUACGUCCUGGGCUACACACACGCUACAAUGGCCAGUACAGACGGUUGCUAAAUCGCGAGAUGGAGCCAAUCCGACAAAGCUGGUCUCAGUUGGGAUUGCAGGCUGAAACCCGCCUGCAUGAACGUGGAGUUGCUAGUAACCGCAGGUCAGCAUACUGCGGUGAAUACGUUCCCGGGCCUUGUACACACCGCCCGUCACGUCAUGGAAGAUGGUAACACUUGAAGUCGUCAGGCUAACCUUCGGGAGGCAGACGCCGAGAGUGGGACCGUUGACUGGGACG
Molecule: ribosomal RNA, 676 nt
Filed under: uncultured Chloroflexota bacterium
Lineage: Bacteria; Bacillati; Chloroflexota
Description: bacterial SSU rRNA
Rfam family: Bacterial small subunit ribosomal RNA
Source: RNAcentral